Molecule: ribosomal RNA, 549 nt
Filed under: uncultured Planctomycetota bacterium
Lineage: Bacteria; Pseudomonadati; Planctomycetota
Description: uncultured planctomycete partial 16S ribosomal RNA
Source: RNAcentral
UUCCUUUGAGUUUCAGCCUUGCGACCAUACUCCCCAGGCGGAGCACUUAACACUUUCGCCUCGGUCGGAAACCUGUGGAGGAGCCUCCAACCUAGUGCUCAUCGUUUACAGCUAGGACUACCGGGGUAUCUAAUCCCGUUCGCUACCCUAGCUUUCGUGCCUCAGCGUCAGAAAAGACCCAGUGAGCCGCUUUCGCCACAGGUGUUCCUAAUGAUAUCAACGCAUUUCACCGCUCCACCAUUAGUUCCGCUCACCUCUAUCUUCCUCUAGCUUGGCAGUUUUGAGCGCAGUUCCUCGGUUGAGCCGAGGGAUUUCACACCCAACUUGCCAAGCCGCCUACGCACCCUUUAUGCCCAGUGAUUCCGAAUAACGUUUGGACGGUUCGUCUUACCGCGGCUGCUGGCACGAACUUAGCCCGUCCUUCCUCUGAAGAUAGGUCAACUAUGGGGGAGAACCCCAUAGAUUUCCUCCCAACUGACAGCGGUUUACAACCCGAAGGCCUUCAUCCCGCACGCGGCGUCGCUCCGUCAGCCUUUCGCCCAUUGCGGA